GUGCGUCGAGAGGCGUUGCAACGGAUCGGGUCAUCGCACCCGUCCGCCACGCUCGGCAGAGUCAAGGACGCCUUCCGUCA
This 80-nucleotide small RNA is filed under the name unclassified sequences. Its description in RNAcentral is "SAH-from-Wang-etal RNA". The record is from RNAcentral.